Molecule: non-coding RNA, 70 nt
Filed under: Oscillospiraceae bacterium
Lineage: Bacteria; Bacillati; Bacillota; Clostridia; Eubacteriales; Oscillospiraceae
Source: RNAcentral
AGCCGAAACAGCGGAUUCAUUCCGCUGUCCGUCAGGAUUGGUCACCUGACGCUGAUGAUGGCAGACCAGU